This 777-nucleotide long non-coding RNA is filed under the name Phoenix dactylifera (date palm). RNAcentral's name for it is "long non-coding RNA (PDAC_LNC013250)". The record is from RNAcentral. Lineage: Eukaryota; Viridiplantae; Streptophyta; Magnoliopsida; Arecales; Arecaceae.
AACUCAAUUUCAUAUUCAUAUUUUUCUCAAUCUUUUAAUGAUAAUUCAAAUAAUGAAACAUUAGAAACUCUUUCUAAUUUUCAUUCUGCUUUGAUCAAAGGCUUCCUGAAUUAUCAUAUGAUUAGAAUAAAUAGGAUGCUAUCUUCUCUUACUAGAAGUGAUUAAUUCCUUGUUAACCUACUCAUAAUCUUCGUACACAAUUCACCAUAUCCAGAAAACCUGGUACACAACUUAUUGUCAUGAAUGAGUGUAAACCAAAAUAUGGGUUCAUGUGCACAAGAUACCAUGGUGAUCUCAGGUCAUAGGAUCAGUUGCACAACUUCCACUAAGAGAAUCAUCUUUUGAUAUGUAAGUAAGACUUCAUAAGAUUUCUCUUUGUAGGUCAAUUCAGUAAACUCAUUCCUCUAAUGAGCACCCACAUCUUUGUAUUAGUGUCUCCUCACAAAUGAUUGUGAGAUCAAUCAUCCUCUGCAUCGAGCAUACAUAAGGCAUGCCAGUCUUUUCCGGUAAUCAUUGAUCCCCGACUCAAUGUACCAAUGACUGGAAAUAUUUUAGAUUAGGAUUUUAGGAUUUUAAGUCUCACUAGUAUGAUCUCAUCAUAGUCUUAAAACCAUUGCCCUAAUCUAAGGAGUUUAUCAUAAAUAUAAUCAACAGCAUAUGAUAAAACAUAACGCCUUUAUUCAUAUUUAAAUGUCAUGUACAUGAUUUGGACAAAUCAAAAGAAAAAACCUUUCGCAAUACAUAUUGUGAUUGGCUUGUAGGGCAUCUACUCUUUCA